UACGUAGGGUGCGAGCGUUGUCCGGAAUUACUGGGCGUAAAGAGCUCGUAGGUGGUUUGUCGCGUUGUCCGUGAAAACUCACAGCUUAACUGUGGGCGUGCGGGCGAUACGGGCAGACUGGAGUACUGCAGGGGAGACUGGAAUUCCUGGUGUAGCGGUGGAAUGCGCAGAUAUCAGGAGGAACACCGGUGGCGAAGGCGGGUCUCUGGGCUGAGAUUGACGCUCAGGCACGAAAGCGUGGGGAGCAAACAGG
RNAcentral lists this ribosomal RNA (253 nucleotides) under uncultured bacterium. Its description in RNAcentral is "partial 16S ribosomal RNA". It matches the Rfam family "Bacterial small subunit ribosomal RNA", at positions 524 to 776 of the family's 1533-position model. The record is from RNAcentral.